Molecule: long non-coding RNA, 371 nt
Organism: Cyprinodon tularosa
Lineage: Eukaryota; Metazoa; Chordata; Actinopteri; Cyprinodontiformes; Cyprinodontidae
Exons: 3
Source: RefSeq, a predicted model, not a curated record
CUGUGGAAAAACGGAGGGAAAAACAGAACAAGCUACCGGUAAAAGUGAGAAGUUUAAGGAAAACAAAAGGGAGAUAAGUAACAGUAUGCAAGAUAAAGAGUAACCUCCCGAGGAGGCACAAGUUCUCACGUUGGUUUCAAAAAGUUACUUUCAUGGAGCCUGGAAAUAAAUACUGAAAACCAUCAGUCCAGUCUACAAUCUUUCGGAGGGUAUUCUACAGGGUGGGACUAUAAAUGUGAUAUCUGAGACCACGGUGCUGCUGCUGAAGCUCCUCAGAACGUUAUUAACACCCAGAACAGCAGUGAGAAGUGAUGGAGAGUUAUUGUGACUGGAUGAUUGAAAUAAUAAAUAUUAUGCCUAAUUCGCAUUCC